GUCGCGGCGCCUCCGGUGCACAGCGUGCGUGUGCUCACCGCCAAACCCAGCCAUCGGACGUGUGGAUCGUUCCUGCCCUCGUUCCGCACCGAUGACCGGUCCAUCGUUUCGACCAGCACCAGGACAAUCGGGAUCAUUGCAUCGCAUUCCCGUACGUACGAGUUGCGCGUUCGGAUAAUUACCGUAUGCCGAGGAAAUAUUGGACCGUUACAGGAGUCAACAAAAUACAGAGGUUCUUAAAUUUCGGAAGCUUCAUUUCCACGGUGAUAAAAUGAACGCGAAGGAAAAGUUGAAACGCGAGUUAGCGUGGAGGAGCGUGGGGCAGGCAAGGAUCCAGCAGCGGUGCACGAUGUAAUAUAAACGUCGUAAAAUAGGAACCAGGUGAAUCGUAUAAUUCGCGAGGGGGAGGAGGGAAGGACCGAAAGGAGGUUCGUCGAGUAAUUCUCAACCAUGCUGCGACACGUCCCUCUUUCUCCGCGCACGCAUUACCACGAACCACCACGUACGACGACCGCAUCGCACACGUGCUGCUUAUAUCGCUCUCGGCACGAGGGAGCCUCGCCGGAAGGAAGGGGAAGGACGACCAGCGUGUCUGCAUCCGAGGCGAAAUACCGGAGGUCGAUCCUGGUGCAACCCUUUAUCUAAAUGUUAUUGCAGCUUGUAUCGUAUUAAGAAACAGUUUUGGAAGCAGGUGUAGUCGGUUCACACUAGGCACAGGAAAUUGGUUAUCCUUAUUUUGGGCCAGAUAAGACUUUAUGGGGAAUUUGCUUUUAAACGUGCCGCCUUGAUAGAAUGGCCCCUGUUUAACGAUAUGCCACUCCUAAAGUCAACAGAACGCCGGUGAAUUCGUUCUUUGUUUAACAGCGAACUGGUGCACUUGUAUCCUCUGAUGCAUUUUAUCUUUGUUCGUAGAUUUCUGUUAUUAUUGCCUUUGCUCCAGCUGCUUUUUCGGAUGAUUACUUCCGGUUCUUGGUAUUCUCACGCGCCGCUGGGAUAUGUACGCAAUAAUAUGGUCGUAAGGUUUUUAUGACGGGACGUCUUCUGCUUCGUGUUUCUAUGUUCGAGAACUUCCUUCCGCGUCGAUACAGAAUUUGCUCUCACAGCAAAAUUGUAUACCCCCUUUUAUUGUUUUGCGUGCGUCUGUAUAGACGAACUUACAAAAGUUCAUUAAAAAUUGUGCAGCUAAAUUGCUCAUUCAUAAAAGGGGUGCAGCACUUUAUGAUACAAAAUAAUCCGUUCAUUAAUUAUUUACAAGUUUGAUAAUAUAUAAUAAAAUAAUAUUGUAAAAUAGAAAGGAAAAAGUAUCCCUUAGAACGUAGUUUCUCAAUUCUCUUUCUCCAGAUCAAAAGCAAUCUUACUUUUACUAUUCCCUUUUCCCCAAGAAAAUAUUUACUAGACUUUCGGGUCAAAAUGUUAGCCGCGCUCUUUAUAGUUCCUUAAAAGGUGCGGCACAUUUGCAGACACGUGCUCUCCUAGAUGUCCUACUCUUUUACACGCAUUGCGUGUACGUUCACGUGACAGCCACCUAAACAGGGGUUAAUACAUCUCUACGGGUGGGGAGUUGAAAUCAUUUAUAAGCUAUAAAUGGGGAUUUUUGGUCUG
Long non-coding RNA from Osmia lignaria (orchard mason bee), 1602 nucleotides. RefSeq lists it as uncharacterized. The record is from RefSeq and is a predicted model, not a curated record. NCBI's taxonomy places the organism in Eukaryota, Metazoa, Arthropoda, Insecta, Hymenoptera, Megachilidae.